Molecule: non-coding RNA, 72 nt
Filed under: Escherichia coli
Lineage: Bacteria; Pseudomonadati; Pseudomonadota; Gammaproteobacteria; Enterobacterales; Enterobacteriaceae
Description: Nucleoid-associated noncoding RNA 4 (CssrE)
Rfam family: Nucleoid-associated noncoding RNA 4 (CssrE)
About the family: In E. coli small RNA transcribed from repeated extragenic palindromic element (REP325) called nucleoid-associated ncRNA 4 (nRNA4) collaborates HU protein in condensing the DNA. The secondary structure but not the sequence of the RNA is important in nucleoid condensation. Also identified in Shigella as CssrE.
Source: RNAcentral
GGCCGGAUAAGGCGUUUACGCCGCAUCCGGCACUAGGUUGCCUGAUGCGACGCUUGCGCGUCUUAUCAGGCC